This 209-nucleotide unclassified non-coding RNA is filed under the name Glomeraceae sp. Its description in RNAcentral is "partial contains 5.8S ribosomal RNA and internal transcribed spacer 2". The stretch from base 1 to 71 matches the Rfam family "5.8S ribosomal RNA", at positions 84 to 154 of the family's 154-position model. The record is from RNAcentral. Lineage: Eukaryota; Fungi; Glomeromycota; Glomeromycetes; Glomerales; Glomeraceae.
GUGAAUCAUCGAAUUUUUGAACGCAAAUUGCACUUUCUGGUAUUCCGGAAAGUAUGCCUGUUUGAGGGUCAGUUAAAUAAAAAUCGGUGUUAUUGCGAUUAAUGUUGAUGCAUCGGAAUUGAGUCGUCUUGACCAUUUGCUUUAUGGGACUUAAAAUUAUGUACGAUUUCUGAACGUAUCUAUAUUAUGUACUUACGCUCAUGAUAUCA